This 494-nucleotide ribosomal RNA is filed under the name uncultured bacterium. RNAcentral describes it as "bacterial SSU rRNA". It matches the Rfam family "Bacterial small subunit ribosomal RNA", at positions 791 to 1289 of the family's 1533-position model. The record is from RNAcentral.
UAGUCCACGCCGUAAACGAUGAUCACUCGCUGUAUGCGAUACACAGUAUGCGGCUGAGCGAAAGCAUUAAGUGAUCCACCUGGGGAGUACGAUCGCAAGGUUGAAACUCAAAGGAAUUGACGGGGGCCCGCACAAGCGGAGGAACAUGUGGUUUAAUUCGAUGAUACGCGAGGAACCUUACCUGGGCUUAAAUGUAGCGUGACCGUACCCGAAAGGGUAUUUCGUCUUCGGAGCAGGGUUACAAGGUGCUGCAUGGCUGUCGUCAGCUCGUGCCGUGAGGUGUCGGGUUAAGUCCCAUAACGAGCGCAACCCCUAUCGUUAGUUGCCAGCGGGUAAUGCCGGGAACUCUAGCGAGACUGCCACCGUAAGGUGAGAGGAAGUGGGGAUGACGUCAAGUCAGCACGGCCCUUAUGUCCAGGGCUACACACGUGUUACAAUGGUCAGUACAAAGGGCAGCUACCAUGUGAAUGGAUGCAAAUCUCUAAACUGAUCCC